RNAcentral lists this ribosomal RNA (467 nucleotides) under uncultured bacterium. RNAcentral describes it as "partial 16S ribosomal RNA". It matches the Rfam family "Bacterial small subunit ribosomal RNA", at positions 28 to 506 of the family's 1533-position model. The record is from RNAcentral.
GACGAACGCUGGCGGCGUGCUUAACACAUGCAAGUCGAACGGAAAGGCCCUGCUUUUGUGGGGUGCUCGAGUGGCGAACGGGUGAGUAACACGUGAGUAACCUGCCCUUGACUUUGGGAUAACUUCAGGAAACUGGGGCUAAUACCGGAUAGGAGCUCCUGCUGCAUGGUGGGGGUUGGAAAGUUUCGGCGGUUGGGGAUGGACUCGCGGCUUAUCAGCUUGUUGGUGGGGUAGUGGCUUACCAAGGCUUUGACGGGUAGCCGGCCUGAGAGGGUGACCGGCCACAUUGGGAAUGAGAUACGGCCCAGACUCCCACGGGGGGGAGCAGGGGGGAAUAUGGAAAAAGGGGCGGGAGCCGGAUGCAGCAAGCCCCGGGGCGGGAGGACGGCCUUCGGGUUGAAAACCGCUUUCCCCUGUGACGAAGGGGGAGGGAGGGGAAUUGGUAAAGAAGCACCGGCUAACUACGG